Molecule: ribosomal RNA, 460 nt
Filed under: uncultured bacterium
Lineage: Bacteria
Description: partial 16S ribosomal RNA
Rfam family: Bacterial small subunit ribosomal RNA
Source: RNAcentral
CCUACGGGAGGCAGCAGUGAGGAAUAUUGGUCAAUGGGCGUAAGCCUGAACCAGCCAAGCCGCGUGAGGGAUGAAGGUUCUAUGGAUCGUAAACCUCUUUUCUAAGGGAAUAAAGUGUGGGACGUGUCCUAUUUUGUAUGUACCUUAUGAAUAAGGAUCGGCUAACUCCGUGCCAGCAGCCGCGGUAAUACGGAGGAUCCGAGCGUUAUCCGGAUUUAUUGGGUUUAAAGGGUUCGUAGGCGGCCUUGUAAGUCAGCGGUGAAAGUCUGUGGCUCAACCCGAGAAUUGCCGUUGAAACUGGGAGGCUUGAGUAUGAUUGAGGCAGGCGGAAGGCGUGGUGUAGCGGUGAAAUGCUUAGAUAUCACGCAGAACCCCGAUUGCGAAGGCAGCCUGCCAAGCCAUGACUGACGCUGAUGCACGAAAGCGUGGGGAUCAAACAGGAUUAGAUACCCUUGUAGUC